AUUGAACGCUGGCGGCAGGCCUAACACAUGCAAGUCGAGCGGUUGAAGGGAGCUUGCUCCCUGAUUCAGCGGCGGACGGGUGAGUAAUGCCUAGGAAUCUGCCUAUUAGUGGGGGACAACGUUUCGAAAGGAACGCUAAUACCGCAUACGUCCUACGGGAGAAAGCAGGGGACCUUCGGGCCUUGCGCUAAUAGAUGAGCCUAGGUCGGAUUAGCUUGUUGGUGAGGUAAUGGCUCACCAAGGCGACGAUCCGUAACUGGUCUGAGAGGAUGAUCAGUCACACUGGAACUGAGACACGGUCCAGACUCCUACGGGAGGCAGCAGUGGGGAAUAUUGGACAAUGGGCGAAAGCCUGAUCCAGCCAUGCCGCGUGUGUGAAGAAGGUCUUCGGAUUGUAAAGCACUUUAAGUUGGGAGGAAGGGUUGUAGAUUAAUACUCUGCGAUUUUGACGUUACCGACAGAAUAAGCACCGGCUAACUCUGUGCCAGCCGCCGCCGUAA
Molecule: ribosomal RNA, 500 nt
Filed under: uncultured bacterium
Lineage: Bacteria
Description: partial 16S ribosomal RNA
Rfam family: Bacterial small subunit ribosomal RNA
Source: RNAcentral